This 543-nucleotide ribosomal RNA is filed under the name Lodderomyces parapsilosis. RNAcentral's name for it is "eukaryotic LSU rRNA". It matches the Rfam family "Eukaryotic large subunit ribosomal RNA", at positions 73 to 633 of the family's 3401-position model. The record is from RNAcentral. Lineage: Eukaryota; Fungi; Ascomycota; Pichiomycetes; Serinales; Debaryomycetaceae.
GAUGCCUUAGUAGCGGCGAGUGAAGCGGCAAAAGCUCAAAUUUGAAAUCUGGCACUUUCAGUGUCCGAGUUGUAAUUUGAAGAAGGUAUCUUUGGGUCUGGCUCUUGUCUAUGUUUCUUGGAACAGAACGUCACAGAGGGUGAGAAUCCCGUGCGAUGAGAUGUCCCAGACCUAUGUAAAGUUCCUUCGAAGAGUCGAGUUGUUUGGGAAUGCAGCUCUAAGUGGGUGGUAAAUUCCAUCUAAAGCUAAAUAUUGGCGAGAGACCGAUAGCGAACAAGUACAGUGAUGGAAAGAUGAAAAGAACUUUGAAAAGAGAGUGAAAAAGUACGUGAAAUUGUUGAAAGGGAAGGGCUUGAGAUCAGACUUGGUAUUUUGUAUGUUACUCUCUCGGGGGUGGCCUCUACAGUUUACCGGGCCAGCAUCAGUUUGAGCGGUAGGAUAAGUGCAAAGAAAUGUGGCACUGCUUCGGUAGUGUGUUAUAGUCUUUGUCGAUACUGCCAGCUUAGACUGAGGACUGCGGCUUCGGCCUAGGAUGUUGGCAUA